UAAGAAAGGGUAUUUUCCAAUAAGCCACAAUUGGCAACACAAUGAUAAAAAACGUAAAAGAAAGAAAGGGAACAUAGCUAAACUAUACUACGCCGGCGCCGAAAACACAAAGACCAUGUUGUGCUCCUUGUGACGAGGCCGUGAACACCAAGCCUUUUAGUUAUGGCGAAGUUGUUCGAUAGGGAGGGAGGUGCUGGCGAAACUCUUCUUCGGAUCUCAAGGCUCGAGCAAGAAUUUUUUCAGGUGAUCGCUUCUCCCAGUUGAAAACUACUUCAUUUCUGGCAAGUCAAGACUGCCAUAGGAGCAAAAGGGGGGACUGAUUCCACGCUGCUACUGUUUCUAGGUAUAGCACCACUGUUUGAAUUAGGAAUUCUGGUACUACCGAGCAUCUGGGACAAUUGGAGCUUAUUUGGGAGAGUCUUCUAUUUAAUUUUUCCAUCAUUGAAAUACCUUUAUGUACAAAUUUUCAUACAAAGACCUUUACCUUUGGCUGUGCUUUCAGGUUCCAGAUUGUCUUCCAAGUGUCUGCAUGUUGGAAACGUAGGUGGAGCUGCUCUUCUGGUGAAUAAAAAAUUUGGUAGGCAAUUUUGUAUCCUGAGUUGUUGUGAAUCCAGUAUAUCGAGUCUUCCUGUUGUUUGACAGGUAGCUGGCAUAUUGAAUGGCAUGUGCCAUGGCUGAAGUUUUGAUGAACUAGUUGUUGGUUCUACUCUCCAUUUACUGUAAUCCAUGUUAGGUUCUCAUCCCUGCACUCUUCAUUAGAAAUGUGAAAAAGGAGUUGGUCCCCAAACUAUGGAUCCUCCUAGAUUCUAACACCACCCCCACCUUGAGUAAUGAUAUGCCAUUUUAUACUCUUCUCUAGUACUUUUCGACCUUCUAGUAAGCUCUGCCACGCUCAGGAGGUUCUGAAUCCCGCCUUAGCUUCCAUAAAGGGUGUGUUUUAAAGUAUUCAUACUUGAAAAUCUUAUAGAAUAGUGAGUGAGAUUUGCUAAGCAAUCUCCAUCCCUAUUUUGCUAGCAUGGCCAAAUUAAAAGCUUUGAGGUCUUUAAAUCCUAAUCCUCCUUUUACUUUUUCUCUA
Arachis ipaensis is the source of this 1075-nucleotide non-coding RNA. Lineage: Eukaryota; Viridiplantae; Streptophyta; Magnoliopsida; Fabales; Fabaceae. The record is from RefSeq and is a predicted model, not a curated record.